This 508-nucleotide ribosomal RNA is filed under the name uncultured bacterium. RNAcentral's name for it is "bacterial SSU rRNA". It matches the Rfam family "Bacterial small subunit ribosomal RNA", at positions 29 to 527 of the family's 1533-position model. The record is from RNAcentral.
AUUGAACGUUGGCGGCAGGCCUAAUACAUGCAAGUCGAACGGCAGCACAGAGAGCUUGCUCUUGGGUGGCGAGUGGCGGACGGGUGAGUAACGCGUAGGAAUCUACCCAGUAGCGGGGGAUAGCCCGGGGAAACCCGGAUUAAUACCGCAUACGCCCCACGGGGGAAAGGCCGGGAUCUUCGGACCGGUCACUAUUGGAGGAGCCUGCGUUGGAUUAGCUUGUUGGUGGGGUAAAGGCCUACCAAGGCUGCGAUCUAUAGCUGGUCUGAGAGGACGAUCAGCCACACUGGAACUGAGACACGGUCCAGACUCCUACGGGAGGCGGCAGUAGGGAAUAUUGUGCAAUGGGCGAAAGCCUGACACAGCCAUGCCGCGUGUGUGAAGAAGGCCUUAGGGUUGUAAAGCACUUUCAGGUGGAAAGAAAUCACUACCCCGAAUACGGGUGGUGGAUGACGGUACCAUCAGAAGAAGCACCGGCUAACUACGUGCCAGCAGCCGCGGUAAAGUA